This 1545-nucleotide small RNA is filed under the name Pongo abelii (Sumatran orangutan). RNAcentral's name for it is "retained intron". Lineage: Eukaryota; Metazoa; Chordata; Mammalia; Primates; Hominidae. The record is from RNAcentral.
UCCUCAAGUCCCAGAGCUGAAAAAGGGACAGCAGAGCUCGCCUCCCUCCCUCCAGCAGCCCGGGAUCGCGCCCCGGCAAUGGCUCUCCAUGAAGGAUGAUGAUGUCUGCCCACUGCAGAGUGCACAUGACCUGAAAUGAAUCCUGCCUGAAUUUUUUCCCUUAGGUGAAAUUUAAAAUGUCAGAAGAGACGACCCUGGCGGAUUUACUGCAGCUGAACCUCCACAGUUAUGAGGAUGAGGUCCGCAACAUCGUGGACAAGGCCGUGAAGGAGUCGGGCAUGGAAAAGGUGCUGAAAGCCCUGGACAGUACCUGGAGCAUGAUGGAAUUCCAGCACGAGCCGCACCCGCGGACAGGCACCAUGAUGCUCAAGUCCAGCGAGGUGCUGGUGGAGACGCUGGAGGACAACCAGGUGCAGCUGCAGAACCUGAUGACGUCCAAGUACCUGGCCCACUUCCUGAAGGAGGUGAUGAGCUGGCAGCAGAAGCUGUCCACGGCAGACUCCGUCAUCUCCAUCUGGUUUGAGGUCCAGCGAACCUGGAGCCACCUGGAGAGCAUCUUCAUCGGCUCCGAAGACAUCCGCGCCCAGCUCCCGGGGGACUCCCAGCGCUUUGACGACAUCGACCAGGAAUUCAAGGCCUUGAUGGAAGAUGCAGUGAAAACACCCAACGUGGUGGAAGCCACCAACCAACCCGGCCUCUACGAUAAACUGGAGGCCCUGAAGAAGAGCUUGGCCAUCUGUGAAAAGGCUUUGGCAGAGUAUUUAGAGACGAAAAGACUGGCUUUCCCCAGGUUCUAUUUUGUCUCCUCGGCUGACCUCCUGGACAUUCUCUCCAAUGGCAAUGACCCCGUGGAGGUGAGCCGCCACCUGUCCAAACUCUUCGACAGCCUGUGUAAACUGAAGUUCCGGCUCGAUGCCAAUGACAAACCUCUCAAGGUGGGCCUGGGAAUGUACAGCAAGGAGGACGAGUACAUGGUUUUUGAUCAGGAAUGCGACCUCUCGGGGCAGGUGGAGGUGUGGCUGAAUCGAGUGCUGGACCGAAUGUGCUCCACCCUCCGGCACGAAAUCCCAGAGGCCGUGGUGACCUACGAAGAGAAGCCGAGGGAGCAGUGGAUCAUGGACUACCCGGCCCAGGUGUGUGGCCCCAUGUGUCCUUCUGAAACCUGCCGGGCGAGUACCUGGAGCGCCUUCUUCUGGGAGGCUGAGCCCCGCAAAACCGUCGUUUCCACAGGCCAAAUAAUAGCCACGCACCGCAGCCCCAGGCACCUCUCCCCUCGAGUAACAGACACCUUCAGAAAUAUGUACUUUGAUUUCUCACCUGAAAAUUGGCAAAUGCUACUGUGAGUCUUAAAAAAUAAAUAAAUAAAUAAAAAAGAAAAGUCCUUGGUUAGAAAUAUGGAAACUAAAGAUCAUCUUGAAAAGAAGGAGAAUUUACCUGUAAUUCCACAACCCAAGCAUGACACUGUUCCCUUAUGCAACCUGCCACUCUGUGUGUGUGUAUAAUUGAUUCAUAUGUAAAAAUAUACAGACUCUGGAUGGCGUUAAA